UCCCAGACUCCUACGGGAGGCAGCAGUGGGGAAUAUUGCACAAUGGGGGAAACCCUGAUGCAGCGACGCCGCGUGAGUGAAGAAGUAUUUCGGUAUGUAAAGCUCUAUCAGCAGGGAAGAAAAUGACGGUACCUGACUAAGAAGCCCCGGCUAACUACGUGCCAGCAGCCGCGGUAAUACGUAGGGGGCAAGCGUUAUCCGGAUUUACUGGGUGUAAAGGGAGCGUAGACGGCAUGGCAAGUCAGAUGUGAAAGCCCGGGGCUCAACCCCGGGACUGCAUUUGAAACUGUCAGGCUGGAGUGCAGGAGAGGUAAGUGGAAUUCCUAGUGUAGCGGUGAAAUGCGUAGAUAUUAGGAGGAACACCAGUGGCGAAGGCGGCUUACCGGACUGUAACUGACGUUGAGGCUCGAAAGCGUGGGGAGCAAACAGGAUUAGAUACCCCAGUAC
This 447-nucleotide ribosomal RNA is filed under the name uncultured bacterium. RNAcentral describes it as "partial 16S ribosomal RNA". It matches the Rfam family "Bacterial small subunit ribosomal RNA", at positions 329 to 793 of the family's 1533-position model. The record is from RNAcentral.